This 1423-nucleotide ribosomal RNA is filed under the name Escherichia coli. RNAcentral describes it as "partial 23S ribosomal RNA". It matches the Rfam family "Bacterial large subunit ribosomal RNA", at positions 688 to 2093 of the family's 2925-position model. The record is from RNAcentral. Lineage: Bacteria; Pseudomonadati; Pseudomonadota; Gammaproteobacteria; Enterobacterales; Enterobacteriaceae.
CUGGGCGUUAAGUUGCAGGGUAUAGACCCGAAACCCGGUGAUCUAGCCAUGGGCAGGUUGAAGGUUGGGUAACACUAACUGGAGGACCGAACCGACUAAUGUUGAAAAAUUAGCGGAUGACUUGUGGCUGGGGGUGAAAGGCCAAUCAAACCGGGAGAUAGCUGGUUCUCCCCGAAAGCUAUUUAGGUAGCGCCUCGUGAAUUCAUCUCCGGGGGUAGAGCACUGUUUCGGCAAGGGGGUCAUCCCGACUUACCAACCCGAUGCAAACUGCGAAUACCGGAGAAUGUUAUCACGGGAGACACACGGCGGGUGCUAACGUCCGUCGUGAAGAGGGAAACAACCCAGACCGCCAGCUAAGGUCCCAAAGUCAUGGUUAAGUGGGAAACGAUGUGGGAAGGCCCAGACAGCCAGGAUGUUGGCUUAGAAGCAGCCAUCAUUUAAAGAAAGCGUAAUAGCUCACUGGUCGAGUCGGCCUGCGCGGAAGAUGUAACGGGGCUAAACCAUGCACCGAAGCUGCGGCAGCGACGCUUAUGCGUUGUUGGGUAGGGGAGCGUUCUGUAAGCCUGUGAAGGUGUGCUGUGAGGCAUGCUGGAGGUAUCAGAAGUGCGAAUGCUGACAUAAGUAACGAUAAAGCGGGUGAAAAGCCCGCUCGCCGGAAGACCAAGGGUUCCUGUCCAACGUUAAUCGGGGCAGGGUGAGUCGACCCCUAAGGCGAGGCCGAAAGGCGUAGUCGAUGGGAAACAGGUUAAUAUUCCUGUACUUGGUGUUACUGCGAAGGGGGGACGGAGAAGGCUAUGUUGGCCGGGCGACGGUUGUCCCGGUUUAAGCGUGUAGGCUGGUUUUCCAGGCAAAUCCGGAAAAUCAAGGCUGAGGCGUGAUGACGAGGCACUACGGUGCUGAAGCAACAAAUGCCCUGCUUCCAGGAAAAGCCUCUAAGCAUCAGGUAACAUCAAAUCGUACCCCAAACCGACACAGGUGGUCAGGUAGAGAAUACCAAGGCGCUUGAGAGAACUCGGGUGAAGGAACUAGGCAAAAUGGUGCCGUAACUUCGGGAGAAGGCACGCUGAUAUGUAGGUGAAGCGACUUGCUCGUGGAGCUGAAAUCAGUCGAAGAUACCAGCUGGCUGCAACUGUUUAUUAAAAACACAGCACUGUGCAAACACGAAAGUGGACGUAUACGGUGUGACGCCUGCCCGGUGCCGGAAGGUUAAUUGAUGGGGUCAGCGCAAGCGAAGCUCUUGAUCGAAGCCCCGGUAAACGGCGGCCGUAACUAUAACGGUCCUAAGGUAGCGAAAUUCCUUGUCGGGUAAGUUCCGACCUGCACGAAUGGCGUAAUGAUGGCCAGGCUGUCUCCACCCGAGACUCAGUGAAAUUGAACUCGCUGUGAAGAUGCAGUGUACCCGCGGCAAGACGGAAAGACCCCG